This 411-nucleotide long non-coding RNA is filed under the name Prunus dulcis (almond). RNAcentral describes it as "sRNA ncRNA". Lineage: Eukaryota; Viridiplantae; Streptophyta; Magnoliopsida; Rosales; Rosaceae. The record is from RNAcentral.
AUGAAAUCUCUCCAAGUUUUCUUUAUGAUAGCCAUGCUCAUUAUGGCUUUAGCCAUUACUCUCUCUGCAACGGUACCAAACCAAAGAGAAGCAUUCUUCAGGCCAGGAUCGUCGACAAGCCGGUUCCUUGCCUCUCAGUCGUCUCCAGGUCGGGGUGGAUGCGACCAAAACCCUCUUGCUUGUAGAGCCACUGAAGGCAAUGCAGGGCCAGAUUGCUGCAGCAAAAAAUGUGUGGAUUUGAGGACAGACAUAUCCAACUGUGGUUCUUGUGGGAAGAGAUGCAUCAGCUCAGAGAUAUGCUGCAACGCUUAUUGUGUGAAUCCAAUGUCUCACAAUCAAAACUGUGGCAAGUGCUCCAACCACUGCAAGGAAGGCACUUCUUGUGACAAUGGAUUGUGCGACUAUGCAUAG